UACGUAGGGUCCAAGCGUUGUCCGGAUUUAUUGGGCGUAAAGAGCUCGUAGGCGGUUUCGUAAGUCGGAUGUGAAAACUCAGGGCUCAACCCGGAGACGCCAUCUGAUACUGCGAUGACUUGAGUCUGGUAGGGGAUCACGGAAUACCUGGUGUAGCGGUGAAAUGCGCAGAUAUCAGGUGGAACACCGAUGGCGAAGGCAGUGAUCUGGGCCGAUACUGACGCUGAGGAGCGAAAGCGUGGGGAGCGAACAGG
RNAcentral lists this ribosomal RNA (254 nucleotides) under uncultured bacterium. RNAcentral describes it as "partial 16S ribosomal RNA". It matches the Rfam family "Bacterial small subunit ribosomal RNA", at positions 524 to 776 of the family's 1533-position model. The record is from RNAcentral.